GGUCUCCGUUGGUGAACCAGCGGAGGGAUCAUUACCGAGUUUACAACUCCCAAACCCCUGUGAACAUACCUAUACGUUGCCUCGGCGGAUCAGCCCGCGCCCCGUAAAACGGGACGGCCCGCCCGAGGACCCUAAACUCUGUUUUUAGUGGAACUUCUGAGUAAAACAAACAAAUAAAUCAAAACUUUCAACAACGGAUCUCUUGGUUCUGGCAUCGAUGAAGAACGCAGCAAAAUGCGAUAAGUAAUGUGAAUUGCAGAAUUCAGUGAAUCAUCGAAUCUUUGAACGCACAUUGCGCCCGCCAGUAUUCUGGCGGGCAUGCCUGUUCGAGCGUCAUUUCAACCCUCAAGCUCAGCUUGGUGUUGGGACUCGCGGUAACCCGCGUUCCCCAAAUCGAUUGGCGGUCACGUCGAGCUUCCAUAGCGUAGUAAUCAUACACCUCGUUACUGGUAAUCGUCGCGGCCACGCCGUAAAACCCCAACUUCUGAAUGUUGACCUCGGAUCAGGUAGGAAUACCCGCUGAACUUAAGCAUAUCAAUAAGCGGAGGAAAAGAAACCAACAGGGAUUGCCCUAGUAACGGCGAGUGAAGCGGCAACAGCUCAAAUUUGAAAUCUGGCUCUCGGGCCCGAGUUGUAAUUUGUAGAGGAUGCUUUUGAUGCGGUGCCUUCCGAGUUCCCUGGAACGGGACGCCAUAGAGGGUGAGAGCCCCGUCUGGUUGGAUGCCAAAUCUCUGUAAAGCUCCUUCGACGAGUCGAGUAGUUUGGGAAUGCUGCUCUAAAUGGGAGGUAUAUGUCUUCUAAAGCUAAAUACCGGCCAGAGACCGAUAGCGCACAAGUAGAGUGAUCGAAAGAUGAAAAGCACUUUGAAAAGAGAGUUAAAAAGUACGUGAAAUUGUUGAAAGGGAAGCGUUUAUGACCAGACUUGGGCUUGGUUAAUCAUCUGGGGUUCUCCCCAGUGCACUUUUCCAGUCCAGGCCAGCAUCAGUUUUCGCCGGGGGAUAAAGGCUUCGGGAAUGUGGCUCUCUCCGGGGAGUGUUAUAGCCCGUUGCGUAAUACCCUGGCGGGGACUGAGGUUCGCGCAUCUGCAAGGAUGCUGGCGUAAUGGUCAUCAACGACCCGUCUUGAAACACGGACCAAGGAGUCGUCUUCGUAUGCGAGUGUUCGGGUGUCAAACCCCUACGCGUAAUGAAAGUGAACGCAGGUGAGAGCUUCGGCGCAUCAUCGACCGAUCCUGAUGUUCUCGGAUGGAUUUGAGUAAGAGCAUACGGGGCCGGACCCGAAAGAAGGUGAACUAUGCCUGUGUAGGGUGAAGCCAGAGGAAACUCUGGUGGAGGCUCGCAGCGGUUCUGACGUGCAAAUCGAUCGUCAAACAUGGGCAUGGGGGCGAAAGACUAAUCGACUCAGAGUUU
Molecule: ribosomal RNA, 1409 nt
Filed under: Fusarium equiseti
Lineage: Eukaryota; Fungi; Ascomycota; Sordariomycetes; Hypocreales; Nectriaceae
Description: eukaryotic LSU rRNA
Rfam family: Eukaryotic large subunit ribosomal RNA (bases 493-1409)
Source: RNAcentral